GGAGUUGGCUAGACAGUCGCUGCCCGCGUUUUGGACGCGGGGAGAGGAAAGUCCGGGCUCCAUAGGGCAAGGCGCCAGGUAACGCCUGGGAGGCGCAAGCCUACGGAAAGUGCCACAGAAAAUAUACCGCCGUGGUCUCCGGACUGCGGUAAGGGUGAAAAGGUGCGGUAAGAGCGCACCGCGCUUCCGGUAACGGAAGUGGCAGGGUAAACCCCGCCUGGAGCAAGACCAAAUAGGGGAGCAUUGGGGGUAACCCCUAACGUGUGGCCCGCACGGCUCCCGGGUAGGUCGCUCGAGACGCGCGGUGACGCGCGUCCUAGAUGAAUGACUGUCCACGACUGAACCCGGCUUAUCGGCCGACUCCCACG
RNAcentral lists this RNase P RNA (368 nucleotides) under Methylocaldum szegediense. RNAcentral's name for it is "RNaseP_bact_a". It matches the Rfam family "Bacterial RNase P class A". From Rfam's summary of the family: Ribonuclease P (RNase P) is a ubiquitous endoribonuclease, found in archaea, bacteria and eukarya as well as chloroplasts and mitochondria. Its best characterised activity is the generation of mature 5'-ends of tRNAs by cleaving the 5'-leader elements of precursor-tRNAs. The record is from RNAcentral. Lineage: Bacteria; Pseudomonadati; Pseudomonadota; Gammaproteobacteria; Methylococcales; Methylococcaceae.